This 806-nucleotide ribosomal RNA is filed under the name Neobenedenia sp. Nb_Srivo_Ecua. RNAcentral describes it as "partial 28S ribosomal RNA". It matches the Rfam family "Eukaryotic large subunit ribosomal RNA", at positions 49 to 622 of the family's 3401-position model. Lineage: Eukaryota; Metazoa; Platyhelminthes; Monogenea; Capsalidea; Capsalidae. The record is from RNAcentral.
AGCGGUGGAAAGCAAACUAAACAGGAUUCUCUUAGUAACUGCGAGUGAACAGAGAUUAGCCCAACAUCGAAGCCACCAUGCAUUUGUAUGGGAGGCAAUGUGAUGUUUUGGUGUUUGAACGCACUGUCUGGCUAACUUGAAGUCCAUAUUUGACUGUGGCUUGUAUUUAUACACCCAGAGAUGGUGAUAGGCCCGUUCAGGUUGGUAUUCUGGCAUGACAGUUCAGUGUGUAAUCAUUCAUCAUAGAGUCGGAUUGCUUGAGAGUGCAGUCCAAAAUGGGUGGUAAACUCCAUCUAAGGCUAAAUACCUGUACGAGUCCGAUAGUCAACAAGUACCGUGAGGGAAAGUUGAAAAGUACUCUGAAGAGAGAGUAAAUAGUACGUGAAACCACAUGGAGGUUAAACAAAUAGAGUCAAGCUGCUUGCAUCAUAUCAUUGCAAUAUGCGCAUUUUGUUGCAUGACAUUUGCCGGGACCUGGCGUGUGAUUCUGUCUACUUGUAGGCAUUUGAACAUGUGUUUGUUGUUUGAAAGGUCUCGGUGAGUGUCUGCGCUUAUUGUUCAUGAUGGGUGCUAAUGCCAUAGUCGGUUGUACUACCAGUGCGCAGUAAUCGGCGAUUGUGCGGGCUGACUUAUUGUCGUUCGUGCAAUCAGUGAAACAGUUGGCAACAGUGUGUGCUUGCAUUCGCUUUUGUCAAAGAAGGCCACGGCCUGUUGAUUACUGUGAACAUUGUGAGAGUCGACCGUUCAUAUGUGCUCAUAUAAUUUGUGGUAGUAAGUCGACUUGUCGACUACUUCCAUAAAUGAGC